GGGGCCAUGGCUCAGUGGUAGAGCAUCUGGUUGGCAUGCUGAAGGUCCCAGGUUCAAUCCCUAGCAUUUCCA
RNAcentral lists this transfer RNA (72 nucleotides) under Sphaerodactylus townsendi. Its description in RNAcentral is "tRNA-Ala". It matches the Rfam family "tRNA". From Rfam's summary of the family: Transfer RNA (tRNA) molecules are approximately 80 nucleotides in length. Their secondary structure includes four short double-helical elements and three loops (D, anti-codon, and T loops). Lineage: Eukaryota; Metazoa; Chordata; Lepidosauria; Squamata; Sphaerodactylidae. The record is from RNAcentral.